This 484-nucleotide ribosomal RNA is filed under the name uncultured bacterium. RNAcentral's name for it is "partial 16S ribosomal RNA". It matches the Rfam family "Bacterial small subunit ribosomal RNA", at positions 30 to 507 of the family's 1533-position model. The record is from RNAcentral.
AUUGAACGCUGGCGGCAGGCCUAACACAUGCAAGUCGAGCGGAUGAAGGGAGCUUGCUCCUGGAUUCAGCGGCGGACGGGUGAGUAAUGCCUAGGAAUCUGCCUGGUAGUGGGGUAUAACGUCCGGAAACGGGCGCUAAUACCGCAUACGUCCUGAGGGAGAAAGUGGGGGAUCUUCGGACCUCACGCUAUCAGAUGAGCCUAGGUCGGAUUAGCUAGUUGGUGGGGUAAAGGCCUACCAAGGCGACGAUCCGUAACUGGUCUGAGAGGAUAAUCAGUCACACUGGAACUGAGACACGGUCCAGACUCCUACGGGAGGCAGCAGUGGGGAAUAUUGGACAAUGGGCGAAAGCCUGAUCCAGCCAUGCCGCGUGUGUGAAGAAGGUCUUCGGAUUGUAAAGCACUUUAAGUUGGGAGGAAGGGCAGUAAGUUAAUACCUUGCUGUUUUGACGUUACCAACAGAAUAAGCACCGGCUAACUUCGUG